GACGAACGCUGGCGGCGCGCUUAACACAUGCAAGUCGAACGGAAAGGCCUGCUUUCCCUUGUGGAUUGCGGGUACUCGAGUGGCGAACGGGUGAGUAACACGUGAGUGAUCUGCCCCCAACUUGGGUAUAAGCCUGGGAAACUGGGUCUAAUUCCCGAUAGGACUGCAGGGUGGUGCCUGUGGUGGAAAACGAUGUUCUAGUGGUUGGGGAUGAGCUCGCGGCCUAUCAGCUUGUUGGUGGGGUAAUGGCCUACCAAGGCGGCGACGGGUAGCCGGCCUGGGAGGGUGGGCGGCCGCAGUGGGACUGCGAUACGGCGCAGACUCCUACGGGAGGCAGCAGAGGGGAAUCAUGCGCAAUGGGCGGAAGCCUGAUGCAGCGACGCCGCGUGGGGGAUGACGGCCUUCGGGUGGUAGCCUCCUUUCGACAGAGAGGAAGCCACCUGGAUGGAAGGGUGGUGACGGUAGUGGUAGAAGAAGCACCGGCUAACUACGUG
Molecule: ribosomal RNA, 494 nt
Filed under: uncultured bacterium
Lineage: Bacteria
Description: partial 16S ribosomal RNA
Rfam family: Bacterial small subunit ribosomal RNA
Source: RNAcentral